UCUGUUUUUAGGUUCAGUAGGCUGAAUGAUCUCCCACAGACGUUAGAUAAUACAUUCAUUACAAGUGAAUAAUCUCUAUUGAGAGAGAGGGGGGGGAAGGGAGAUGAAUGGCUUAUAACAAUACACAUUGUUCUGACACUGUAACGUACCACAUGCUUUCUCCCCCGUCUCUGUCCUCCAGGAGGUCACCUCCAUAACUGACUAUAUGCCCCCCGUCUCUUUCCUCCAGGAGGUCAACUCCAUAACUGACUAUAUGCCCCCCCCCCGUCUCUUUCCUCCAGGAGGUCACCUCCAUAACUGACUAUAUGCCCCCCCCGUCUCUUUCCUCCAGGAGGUCACCUCCAUAACUGACUAUAUGCCCCCCCCCCC
This 369-nucleotide long non-coding RNA is filed under the name Salmo salar (Atlantic salmon). Its description in RNAcentral is "lncRNA (ENSSSAG00000110321.1)". Lineage: Eukaryota; Metazoa; Chordata; Actinopteri; Salmoniformes; Salmonidae. The record is from RNAcentral.